RNAcentral lists this non-coding RNA (76 nucleotides) under Crocodylus porosus (Australian saltwater crocodile). The record is from RNAcentral. Lineage: Eukaryota; Metazoa; Chordata; Crocodylia; Crocodylidae.
CGUGCAAGUUUGAGGCCAUAGCAGAAGUGCUCAUGGCAUUGCCCUGUCAGAUUCUAAUGAAUCUUCUAAAUACCUU